CCUACGGGUGGCAGCAGUGAGGAAUAUUGGUCAAUGGACGAAAGUCUGAACCAGCCAAGCAGCGUGCAGGAUGACUGCCCUAUGAGUUGUAAACUUCUUUUAUAUGGGAAUAAACCAGGGUAUGCAUACCCUCUUGUAUGUACCAUAUGAAUAAGGAUCGGCUAACUCCGUGCCAGCAGCCGCGGUAAUACGGAGGAUCCGAGCGUUAUCCGGAUUUAUUGGGUUUAAAGGGAGCGUAGGGGGAUUGUUAAGUCAGUUGUGAAAGUUCGGGGCUCAACUCUAAAAUUGCAGUUGAAACUGGCAGUCUAGAGAUCAGAAGAGGUAGGCGGAAUUUGUGGUGUAGCGGUGAAAUGCUUAGAUAUCACGAAGAACACCGAUUGCGAAGGCAGCUUACUGGACUGAAACUGACACUGAUGCACGAAAGCGUGGGGAGCAAACAGGAUUAGAUACCCCAGUAGUC
Molecule: ribosomal RNA, 460 nt
Filed under: uncultured bacterium
Lineage: Bacteria
Description: partial 16S ribosomal RNA
Rfam family: Bacterial small subunit ribosomal RNA
Source: RNAcentral